GACGAACGCUGGCGGCGUGCUUUACACAUGCAAGUCGAACGGUGAAGGAAAGCUUGCUUUCUGGAUCAGUGGCGAACGGGUGAGGAACACGUGGGCAAUCUGCCCCAGACUCUGGGAUAACUCAUCGAAAGGAGGGCUAAUACCGGAUAUUCGGUACUGAAGUCAUAUACGGUUUCGGAAAGUCUUUCGGUCUGGGAUGAGCCCGCGGCCUAUCAGCUUGUUGGUGAGGUAACGGCUCACCAAGGCAACGACGGGUAGCCGGCCUGAGAGGGCGACCGGCCACACUGGGACUGAGACACGGCCCAGACUCCUACGGGAGGCAGCAGUGGGGAAUAUUGGUCAAUGGACGAAAGUCUGAACCAGCGACGCCGCGUGAGGGAUGAAGGUCUUCGGAUUGUAAACCUCUUUCAGCAGGGACGAAGCGAAAGUGACGGUACCUGCAAAAGAAGCACCGGCUAACUACGUGCCAGCCGCCGCGGUAA
Molecule: ribosomal RNA, 482 nt
Filed under: uncultured bacterium
Lineage: Bacteria
Description: partial 16S ribosomal RNA
Rfam family: Bacterial small subunit ribosomal RNA
Source: RNAcentral